GAUGAACGCUGGCGGCGUGCCUAAUACAUGCAAGUCGAGCGAACAGACGAGGAGCUUGCUCCUCUGACGUUAGCGGCGGACGGGUGAGUAACACGUGGAUAACCUACCUAUAAGACUGGGAUAACUUCGGGAAACCGGAGCUAAUACCGGAUAAUAUAUUGAACCGCAUGGUUCAAUAGUGAAAGACGGUUUUGCUGUCACUUAUAGAUGGAUCCGCGCCGCAUUAGCUAGUUGGUAAGGUAACGGCUUACCAAGGCAACGAUGCGUAGCCGACCUGAGAGGGUGAUCGGCCACACUGGAACUGAGACGCGGUCCAGACUCCUGCGGGAGGCAGCAGUAGGGAAUCGUCCGCAAUGGGCGAAAGCCUGACGGAGCAACGCCGCGUGAGUGAUGAAGGUCUUCGGAUCGUAAAACUCUGUUAUUAGGGAUGAACAACUGUGUAAGUAACUAUGCACGUCUUGACGGUACCUGAUCAGAAAGCCACGGCUAACUACGUG
This 497-nucleotide ribosomal RNA is filed under the name uncultured bacterium. RNAcentral's name for it is "partial 16S ribosomal RNA". It matches the Rfam family "Bacterial small subunit ribosomal RNA", at positions 28 to 507 of the family's 1533-position model. The record is from RNAcentral.